RNAcentral lists this ribosomal RNA (460 nucleotides) under uncultured bacterium. RNAcentral's name for it is "partial 16S ribosomal RNA". It matches the Rfam family "Bacterial small subunit ribosomal RNA", at positions 338 to 795 of the family's 1533-position model. The record is from RNAcentral.
CCUACGGGGUGCAGCAGUGAGGAAUAUUGGUCAAUGGGCGCGAGCCUGAACCAGCCAAGUCGCGUGAGGGAUGAAGGUUCUAUGGAUCGUAAACCUCUUUUAUAUGGGAAUAAAGUGUGGGACGUGUCCUAUUUUGUAUGUACCUUAUGAAUAAGGAUCGGCUAACUCCGUGCCAGCAGCCGCGGUAAUACGGAGGAUCCGAGCGUUAUCCGGAUUUAUUGGGUUUAAAGGGUGCGUAGGCGGCCUUUUAAGUCAGUGGUGAAAGUCUGUGGCUCAACCAUAGAAUUGCCGUUGAAACUGGGAGGCUUGAGUAUGUUAGAGGCAGGCGGAAUGCGUGGUGUAGCGGUGAAAUGCUUAGAUAUCACGCAGAACCCCGAUUGCGAAGGCAGUCUGCCAGGCCAUGACUGACGCUGAUGCACGAAAGCGUGGGGAUCAAACAGGAUUAGAUACCCCGGUAGUC